UACGUAGGCGGUUUAAUAAGUUGGAUGUGAAAGCCCCGGGCUUAACCUGGGAACUGCAUUCAAAACUGUUUUACUAGAGUGUAUAAGAGGUUAGCGGAAUUCCAGGUGUAGCAGUGAAAUGCGUAGAUAUCUGGAGGAACAUCAGUGGCGAAGGCGGCUGACUGGUAUAACACUGACGCUGAGGUACGAAAGCGUGGGUAGCGAACG
This 207-nucleotide ribosomal RNA is filed under the name uncultured bacterium. RNAcentral's name for it is "partial 16S ribosomal RNA". It matches the Rfam family "Bacterial small subunit ribosomal RNA", at positions 568 to 774 of the family's 1533-position model. The record is from RNAcentral.